This 404-nucleotide unclassified non-coding RNA is filed under the name soil metagenome. RNAcentral describes it as "partial contains 5.8S ribosomal RNA, internal transcribed spacer 2, and large subunit ribosomal RNA". The stretch from base 1 to 122 matches the Rfam family "5.8S ribosomal RNA", at positions 35 to 154 of the family's 154-position model. The record is from RNAcentral.
GAUGAAGAACGCAGCAAAAUGCGAUACUUGGUGUGAAUUGCAGAAUCCCGUGAACCAUCGAGUUUUUGAACGCAAGUUGCGCCCGAAGCCUUUUGGCCGAGGGCACGUCUGCCUGGGCGUCACGCAUCGCGUCGCCCCCCACAAUUCUCCGUAAAGGGAACAUGUGUUUUGGGGGCGGAUAUUGGUCUCCCGUGCUCAUGGCGUGGUUGGCCGAAAUAGGAGUCCUUUCGAUGGACGCACGAACUAGUGGUGGUCGUAAAAACCCUCGUCUUUUGUUUCGUGCUGUUGCUCGCAAGGUAAACUCUUUAAAGACCCCAAUGUGUCGUCUCUUGACGACGCUUCGACCGCGACCCCAGGUCAGGCGGGACUACCCGCUGAGUUUAAGCAUAUCAAUAAGCGGAGGA